AUGAGCCGAUGGCCUCGGCGCCGCGCGUCGCCGACACAUGGAUCGCCCCGGCCGGCCCCGUCGCCAUCGGCCCGGAUCCCGCUGUCGAGACGGUGUAGUCGACCAACCCCGCCGUGCUCCGCCGUUAGGCGACAGCUCGUCAUCAGGGGGCCGCCCCAUCCUGAGGAUGGGCGCCGCGUGCAUGCAUGCAUGCCUCUGUCGGCCGGCCGACGAGACCGCGCACCCGCAUUAUUUGUUGUCGAUCUCCUCUCGAACGUCACCGUGGACCCAUGCCGGCCAUGGACGCGAAGGGCGAGGCGGACGGGGGACGGGCGGUGCGUGCGUGCGCGUGUCGGCUCUCCGGCGAGAUCGACCGCGCAUCCGCAUUGUCGAGGCUGUCGUCGCCAUCGCGGAACCCCAACCGCAGGCCGCGAGGGAGCUAGCCCAUCGAUCAAAGAUAGAAGAUUUGAUUGCGCGCGCCCGUGCGUGUCUCCUGCAUGCGUCCACGCUUUUCGAACAAGCGCCGGCUACCUAGAAACGGGUCAGGCGUAUCUCUCCGUCCAGAUAUAUAGCUUGCUACGUCGGUCUGUGUGA
Molecule: ribosomal RNA, 573 nt
Filed under: Triticum aestivum (bread wheat)
Lineage: Eukaryota; Viridiplantae; Streptophyta; Magnoliopsida; Poales; Poaceae
Description: partial small subunit ribosomal RNA
Source: RNAcentral